AUGGAGAGGCCCUCAGCAGUCUGUCCUCCUUGUUCAAAUGCCAGCCAGACUGAAAAGAGAAAGAGGCUUCCCUUUGGCUUUUGAAUGCAGCCAGUCAGAAAGGCUCCUCUUCUUCAUGUGAGCCUCCACACCUUAUGGAGACCCAAUGAAGAGACUGGAUAUGCUAUACUGCCAACCAUAGAAGAGUAGGAUGCACCCCAGCCUAACAUCUCCUGCAAAGCUGAGCCUACUCAUUAAUAGACUUUUAACACAAUAGAAGCAUUUUACUCAUUAAUCUUCCAAAAGAACCUCU
This 292-nucleotide long non-coding RNA is filed under the name Phascolarctos cinereus (koala). Its description in RNAcentral is "lncRNA (ENSPCIG00000018487.2)". The record is from RNAcentral. Lineage: Eukaryota; Metazoa; Chordata; Mammalia; Diprotodontia; Phascolarctidae.